UACGGAGGGUGCAAGCGUUGUUCGGAAUUAUUGGGCGUAAAGGGCGCGUAGGCGGUAAUGCUAGUCAGAUGUGAAAUACUCCGGCUCAACCGGGGAACUGCAUCUGAAACUGCAUAACUAGAGUACAGAAGAGGGAAACGGAAUUCCCGGUGUAGAGGUGAAAUUCGUAGAUAUCGGGAGGAACACCAGUGGCGAAGGCGGUUUCCUGGUCUGAUACUGACGCUGAGGCGCGAAAGUGUGGGGAGCAAACAGGAUUAGAUACCCCUGUAGUCCCUGA
RNAcentral lists this ribosomal RNA (277 nucleotides) under uncultured prokaryote. RNAcentral describes it as "partial 16S ribosomal RNA". It matches the Rfam family "Bacterial small subunit ribosomal RNA", at positions 524 to 800 of the family's 1533-position model. The record is from RNAcentral.